Long non-coding RNA from Platichthys flesus (European flounder), 5255 nucleotides. RefSeq lists it as uncharacterized. The transcript is spliced from 2 exons. NCBI's taxonomy places the organism in Eukaryota, Metazoa, Chordata, Actinopteri, Pleuronectiformes, Pleuronectidae. The record is from RefSeq and is a predicted model, not a curated record.
GGUCACCACUGGGGUAAAACUAAUUGGGUUUUGCACAUUUUCACCAUUUCUUUACUUAAAAGUUGGUGGAUCUCUUUAGUCUGUCUUAACCCCUGGCAGGGAACAAGUGGAGCUAAUGGGGAGCAAAGGCAGAGGAAUAUAUGUCCAAUAGCCACAUAUUCUCCAGUCAAGGCAAUCAUGGGAAACACAGAACGUCACUCUUUCAAUUUCAUCCCUUCCACUGUCGAAGCCGCCCUCUAUAACGUCAUUAUCUCCAGCAGAUCUGCAGGGUCCUCUGACAGGGCCAUGUUAUCCAGACACCGGGGAAAUGCAAAUUGAUUUCAUAUCAGCCGUGGCAUUUUUAAGGCCUCCCCAUGUUACAUAGACUGUCAUUUCAGGCAGAGAUAUGAAAAUCUGAGGGAAAUGUCAAACUGUGGAGGGACUAUAUUAUGCGCAGUGUGUUGUUUACUCUGAUCACCAGCUCAUGGAACAAGAUACUUCUUAAUGCCACGCCGUCAGUUGUCUGUUUAAGAGGUUUCUAUUACACUUUUGAUCCUUAUGAGUCUGGUGUAGUUUUUUGAAUGUCAGAAUAGCAGCAGACUAACAGGAAUAUGCAUGAUUAGCAUAAUGUAACAGAGCCAACAAAAGGCCGUCGUUGAGAGGUGAUUAAUUUGAAUGACACCUCUAAAGCGAAUCUCAAAUGGAUGUUAAAGCUGCCGUGAUAAAUAUUUUUAUCUUAAUAAAGAAUCACGGCUACUUGAAUGUGAGAGUGGUUCAUCACCUGACCGCGGUCCCCAUCAGCUCUGCACAGCGUGUAGCAUCACACAUUGCAUUCUGUUGUUGUUAGUGUGCAAUCACUGCUUUCAAAGUGUCAAAAAUUAUACUAUGGCUGCGAGCUAAAUAUCUCUACUAACUAACUAACUGUGUGCUAUAUAUGGCCAUGCACCAACAGCAACGUUAGCUGCUAGCUGGUGAAUAAAGUAGAGCAUUUUGUAGACAGACGUCCUACUCUGGAGUUGGUGGAGACUAAAAUUGAGCUAAAAGGAGCGGUAAUGAUUGAAUGAACUUCUAUAAACAGAUUCUGUGUGUGAAUACGCACGACUUGAAGGCACGGGACAAGAUUUUGGAGCCACAAGAUCUGGUUUCUGUUUCUAAUUAGACCAAUAACGUUUGAGCAGGCUUUGGUCCCCCGCAGGAAAAAAGUCCAUGUAGAGAGUGAAAGGGGCGGAGCACAGUGACAGAAACGCAUCAUCAGGAGUUUUUCAUUCUUCUGCAUGCAUGCGUGAUAGAAGAAACUAUUCCUAUUGUAAAUCUAGAGUGACCUUAUUGGAGGUCUUGGCCUGGAUAUCCACUAUCUACACCUGAAGCCCCAAAAUAUUGUCCAUCGCCCCCAGAGGCCAAUUCAUCGACUUUAGCUUCACAGCUUCAAAUGAAUGCUGCUGUUGGUCUACAUCUGUAGGAUGUGAAAAACAGGGCAAAUGUGUGCAAACAAGUCGGCCACUUAACUUCAAAAGUUAUAACGUCAGCAUUAAGACAUUGUUCAAACAAAUGAGGCUUUUAAGCUAGUGCUCCACCAGCUAUUUAAGGUACACGAGUGCUGUCAGGUGAAAAUACAUACACUGAGUGGGAGAGGAUGAGGAGGAGGAGAAAGAGAAAGAGUAGAAAGCAGAUGGCUAAAGAUGAAGGUCAAAACCAAUUGAGAAGUUUGUCAAAAUUUGAUGACAUAAGCAAUCUGUAAGCUGUUAUUGCAGCCGAGCUUGAGGUGCAGAGAAACAUAUUGAAAUUACAAAAAAAACCACUGCAGCUGCCAGCGCACUGCCAGGAAUGAUUGCCCCGAGUGUUUUUUUUCUUCUUCAUGCAUUGCCUCUCUCUUUUUGUCGCUUAACACCCCCCCCCCCCCCCCCCACACACACACACGCAUGGCUGCCUGCCAGAUGUGCGGCAUAUCUGGAUUUAAUGAUAUCACAAAUGCCUUUCUUCAUGCUCAAUAAUAACUCAAUUCUGAUUGAUACACAACUGUCAGCGGCUUAUCUUGAUACAAAUAGAGUUGUCUGUCAUUCGGUAUUGAGUCAUCAAUUUUAGCCGGUGAUGAGGCUUGUUUGCCGCACCUAAUCAUCUGUCUCGUUGGGAAGCCUGGGAGGCUGAUCAGAUAGCACUUGUAACCAUCACAACACAAGCUUUCAGGGAAAAUUGAGUGGGGCCCAUUAUGCCUGUGCUCCGAGCAAUGUCAGAGAUUUCUUUGUACAUAAAGCAAAGCCCAGAAUAAAUCACACAGUACACCCACAUUUCUAUUGAUUAAAGCCUUUCCCAUGCCUGCAUCUGCCGAAUUGUCCACAGAAUAAAGAGCAGCUUUAUAUUUUGUCCUGUCAAAAUGUUAGGUCAUUCUAUCAAGGCCAGCCAGUUCCAUACAAUGGCACAGUGAGGCUUCUGUUGAAAAACACCAAGAGGCAGAGAAUGAAUUCUGGUAUUUCCGUGCAACAGGAACCUGCUAGGACUGAUUUUUUUUUAUUUUGUCCGUUAGAUAUUAUAGCUCCGCACUGUGAGUAAAUACCAAUUUUAUUUCCCAUACUUUAACCCAAAUAGUUUCCCUACAAAAAGUCAACAAGCAUAACCUUCUAAAACUGUUAUGAAUAUGGCGUCCGGGGCAACACUCUACCUCCUCCUGUAGACCUCCUUAUUUAGCAUUCAUAGUCUGUAUAUAAACAUUUAAUAAAUGGUUAUUAAUACUCUGUAUUGAAGUUUUAAGUGGAUGCUAGGGUUAUAAUAUGCUAACAUAAAAUAUGUCAAGCAAAUUAUUCUUCUGAUACAAUAAUGUGAAUAUUAUAUAUGAACAAACAUGUAUACCAUAUACAUGAUAUUGUUUGCUGUCAUAAUAGUAACUUUAAAAUGAUUUUCCAUCUGGCUAUAACUACUUAUUCAUUACAGAUCCCAAACUGUGAGUUAACACUUUAUAAUUAAUGUAAAACGUGCAAAUAUUGUGACCUUAUUGUAUUGUAAUCAGACUGAUGACAAGUGCUGCCGGACGCUGCCUUGGCAUUUUACUGCAUCCUAUACAAUUAUCCUGAUGAGAACUUGAAAGACCUCUGUUAAUGUGGGAGUGUGAGAAGGCCUGUAGCCUAAAGACCCCUGCUUUCAUUCAUCUCACUAACAUCAGGGAGCUCAAGCUCGGCGUCACUCAAAGCUUUCCUCCUUUGAAAUUCCCCAGGCAGACCCACAAAUUAAGCUCACUUCUGUUUGACCAAAGAUGAGACCAGCCCUGAAGUAAGACAGCUUUCCCUCCCUUUUAUCACAAGAGUUUGCAAUCUAUCCCUUAGAACUCCACAGACCUAUAAAUCUCUGGAAAAUCUCUCUAUUCAUUGUCAGGCCGCGAUAAAGAACCAUACAGAAAAUUCUCUCCGUCUAAAUUUCAGUCACGAUCCUGCAGCAAAGGACAAACACAGUUUGCUUGUGAACGCCGAGAGUGCAUUUGCAAGAAUGUGCCUGAAUUCUUCAACUUUUUCAGACUAUUAAGUGUAAUUCUAAAGACGACUCCAUCCUGAAUGCUGCAAAAAAACAAAGAAAGAGUUGUGCAUUUGUUUAACAGCAAACACUGCUUGCCUCUAGGAUGUAGACACAUAGGCCUUCUUUCUUGUGUAUUGAAUUGAAAAGGUGGCAUCUCAAUCCAUAAAUGUAAAUAACCAGCUCCCUCAUUUGUUAUGAUAAGAAAUUGCUUGGCUGUAGCAUGAUUUAUAAGGAGAAAAAAAACAUUUACUAUAUAAAAUGGUGGGUAGAAAUUAUUGAUUGAGGAUUUGUGCAACUUGCAAAUAAAUAUCCAUCAUACAUUUUUUGCAUUUUGUAGAAGGACUUUGGAAUGAAAACAACUAGCAUGGACCUCUUCUUGGCGCGUUUACACCAGUAUUGCUUGUGUGUGUUUCAAAAGAACCACUAUUCUCCCACAGCAGGGAGUGUGCGCCCAAAUCUUCAAACUCCCCAACUUGGAGGACGUCUCGUGACAAGCAAUCACUCUUAAUAGGAUUCUUCUCCUCCAGAAAGACUCACAAGGAAAGAUUAUCUGACUCUAUUCUGAGCACAUUCAAAGGCAAGGGACCAUGCACUCCCCCUGCGAGUUCAUUAUCAUGCUCAGGUUAUCCCGGGCCCAGUGAAUCUGGAACGCAAAUGAAUUAGUGAGAAUUAAGAAGUCUCUGUGGUCUGAAACCUCUCCAAAUCUCCUGCAAGAUGAAAGGUACGUAGCCAUGGCUUAUUCGCAGUCGCUCCCCUCCUGAGCCCAGGAGGCAUCUCCCGACCCAUCCCGGGACACUCCCAUCCCCCCGACACACACACACACACACACAAACACACACACACACACACACACACACACACACACAUACACACACACUUACAAACACAACACUGCUGCCUUUCGGAAAAUGGAAACAGUGCGGGCAGUUAAUGUUGCCCAACAUCUUCUGACUCGCAGUUUUUUUUUUUUUGUUGUGAGGGAGAAAUUGAGCUGGGCUGCAGGACGGAGGCGGCCAUCACUGGCGAUUAAUUACAGCACUGUGGUGCUGGCACUUCGGUUACGGCUGAUCCCUCAGCAGGCAGGGCUGCUUCUCAUCUCAGCCUCUCUGUAGCCUUCAAAGGGCUCUCCUCUGCCUGCAAGACUGAACCCAGGCCAGUAUUCCCCCCCUCCUUGCCUGCCCGUCAGCCUGGUCCUUUGUAACAGACUGCAGAGUCUGCCCCUCUCCCUCAGCUCAUUCAGCAUCACACCCUGCCCUUGUGCUGGACAUCAAAUGACCAGCUCGCCCCCCGAGGAGCUCUCAAGUUUCUUCAUUUCAGCAGCCGCCUGGCUCUCCCCUGGUCAGCAGCCGGCCACGCAGGGAGAGGGGACAUCUGCCUGUCUGAGGAUAAGGGACAGGCUGGGCUCACCAUCCGUCUGUCAGGCCCUCAGACUGGACCCCGCACGUCGCCGCUCCGCUCCCUCCUUGUUAUUCUGCAGAGGACGCCGGGAUCUGAUAUGUGGCAUUGUCUGUGCCAUACUGGUCAGAAAGACAGGAGGGGACUGACGCAAAUGCAGUGAAGGAAUGAUCUGCAACAGAAACAUCCCUGCUAACAAAACCAAACCCUGUGUUUUGCAUUGUAACAGGAAAUGUAUUGUUUAUUCCAUUUGUGUGACAUGCAUACUAAAACUAGAAGCAAUCUAGCUACAAACCAAAGUCAUGAAUGGUAGAAAUUGUGAAGCAGUUGUACGCAACAUGAUUGUCUUUUCUUCACUGAAUAAACAUGUUUGUUAUUUA